ACUUGUUGCAAUGAUGAUAGUUGCGAAUCCCAGCUCAUUAUGAGACCUUUUGUGGUCUGGGAAUUGACUUUAUUCACUUGUAUAUGAGCCUUAAU
Molecule: small nucleolar RNA, 95 nt
Organism: Argentina anserina (silverweed cinquefoil)
Lineage: Eukaryota; Viridiplantae; Streptophyta; Magnoliopsida; Rosales; Rosaceae
Source: RefSeq, a predicted model, not a curated record